RNAcentral lists this ribosomal RNA (511 nucleotides) under uncultured Bacillota bacterium. RNAcentral's name for it is "bacterial SSU rRNA". It matches the Rfam family "Bacterial small subunit ribosomal RNA", at positions 355 to 857 of the family's 1533-position model. Lineage: Bacteria; Bacillati; Bacillota. The record is from RNAcentral.
UAGGGAAUCUUCCGCAAUGGACGAAAGUCUGACGGAGCAACGCCGCGUGAGCGAUGAAGGCCUUCGGGUCGUAAAGCUCUGUUGUUAGGGAAGAACAAGUAUCGGAGUAACUGCCGGUACCUUGACGGUACCUAACCAGAAAGCCACGGCUAACUACGUGCCAGCAGCCGCGGUAAUACGUAGGUGGCAAGCGUUGUCCGGAAUUAUUGGGCGUAAAGCGCGCGCAGGCGGUCCUUUAAGUCUGAUGUGAAAGCCCACGGCUCAACCGUGGAGGGUCAUUGGAAACUGGGGGACUUGAGUACAGAAGAGGAAAGUGGAAUUCCACGUGUAGCGGUGAAAUGCGUAGAGAUGUGGAGGAACACCAGUGGCGAAGGCGACUUUCUGGUCUGUAACUGACGCUGAGGCGCGAAAGCGUGGGGAGCAAACAGGAUUAGAUACCCUGGUAGUCCACGCCGUAAACGAUGAGUGCCAAGUGUUAGAGGGUUUCCGCCCUUUAGUGCUGCAGCAAACG